Molecule: long non-coding RNA, 2250 nt
Organism: Pseudophryne corroboree (corroboree frog)
Lineage: Eukaryota; Metazoa; Chordata; Amphibia; Anura; Myobatrachidae
Exons: 4
Source: RefSeq, a predicted model, not a curated record
AAAAACACUGGCUCCUGAUUGGCUGGCGCACGGUCUUUCGCUUGGCAACAGCGCGCCGAUUAGUCCGCGCUCUGAGGGCGCCCAGAAAGGAUCAAGUGACCGGGACCCUCAGAGGAUAAAUACCCGGGGAGAUAGACAUGGCGGUAUCUCUUGAGGAAGGAUAGAGAACUAUCCGAAACGUGUUGAGGCCGUCUGCAUACCGGGAGCUGAGAGUAUCACUGAAGGGAAGGCGAAGCUGCUGCUUAACAUCCAUCCGCCUGGCACCGAUCGUGACUGCAGCACGAACAGAGACCGGAAAGGACGCUUUACACUACAUCUCCCCGCAAGUGACUGUCUCAGCAUACCUGUAUUUUAACUGGUGUUUGGUUUAAUAAACCUGUUCCUUUUGGACCGAUGCUACACGUCUUUCUCUGAUAAGAAGUGGGGGACCAUAAAGAUACCUAAGAUACCUUUUGAAGCACGCGAGACUGAACUCCAAUGAAACGUACAGUGAUGUUGUCCGCUUGUCGGAGAGAGAAAGCCGAUAUAGUCUUCCUCCAAGAGACUCACUUCACCAGUGCACACUCUCAACUAUCCGAUUGUAGGAAGAAACCGGAGUACCCGGAGGAACUCCACUCAAGUACAGGGAGAACAUACAAACUCCACACAGGACCAUGGUGGGAAUCGAACCCAUGACCUCAGUGCAGUGAGGCAGUAAUGCUAACCAUUACACCAUCCGUGCUGCCCACCCUCCGUCCCCUUAUGUUGUGUUGCCUUUAAAUGACCCCAUGAUAAGACUUUGCAGACGGGACGCGGCAAUAACCUGGUUUAUGAUCACUAUGCAGGCGCCGCAGUGUAAAUAGGAGCGCUUUUAUGGUGUCACUGAGCAGCACAUUCCUGCAAAGGAGGAUUUUACAGCCUGUGGGGCACAGGGCACACCAUAGUACACUGCCCCUGUAUAGUGAUACACAAGUCACACUCUGGAGGCUAGAGGGCACACCAUCAUACUAUAGUACACUGCCCCUGUAUAGUGAUACACAAGUCACACUCUGGAGGUAAUGCCUGGAGGCUAGAGGACACCAUCAUACUAUAGUACACUGCCCCUGUAUAGUGAUACACAAGUCACACUCUGGAGGUAAUACCCGAAGGCUAGAGGACACACCAUCAUACUAUAGUUCACUGCCCCUGUAUAGUGAUACACAAGGUCACACUCUGGAGGUAAUGCCUGGAGGCUAGAGGACACACCAUCACACUAUAGUACACUGCUCCUGUAUAGUGAUACACAAGUCACACUCUGGAGGUAAUGCCUGGAGGCUAGAGGACACUGCCCCUGUAUAGUGAUACACAAGUCACACUCUGGAGGUAAUGCCUGGAGGCUUGAGGACACACCAUCAUACUAUAGUACACUGCCCCUGUAUAGUGAUACACAAGUCACACUCAGGAGGUAAUGCCUGGAGGCUAGAGGACACACCAUCAUACUAUAUUACACUGCCCCUGUAUAGUGAUACACAAGUCACACUCUGGAGGUAAUGCCUGGAGGUUAGAGGGCACACCAUCACACUAUAGUACACUGCCCCUGUAUAGUGAUACACAAGUCACACUCUGGAGGCUAGAGGGCACACCAUCACACUAUAGUACACUGCCCCUGUAUAGUGAUACACAAGUCACACUCAGGAGGUAAUACCCGAAGGCUAGAGGGCACACCAUCAUACUAUAGUACACUGCUCCUGUAUAGUGAUACACAAGUCACACUCUGGAGGUAAUGCCUGGAGGCUUGAGGACACACCAUCAUACUAUAGUACACUGCCCCUGUAUAGUGAUACACAAGUCACACUCUGGAGGUAAUACCCGAAGGCUAGAGGGCACACCAUCACACUAUAGUACACUGCCCCUGUAUAGUGAUACACAAGUCACACUCUGGAGGUAAUGCCUGGAGGCUAGAGGACACCAUCACACUAUAGUACACUGCCCCUGUAUAGUGAUACACAAGAGACACUCUGGAGGUAAUGCCUGGAGGCUAGAGGACACAUCAUACUAUAGUACACUGCCCCUGUAUAGUGAUACACAAGACACACUCUGGAGGCUAGAGGACACCAUAGUACACUGCUCCUGUAUAGUGAUACACAAGUCACACUCUGGAGGACAGUGUCCCUGUAUUAUUGUAUCACCAGUUACUAUUCUUUCGGUUAGAACGAAUAACGUCCUAAUCAUGUGUUUUAUUUCCUAUAUCUUCUGGAGGUCAGAUGGUGUGUCUAAAUAUAGUAGUUAUGA